UUAAAUCGGAGAUCGACAAAUUAAGUGGGUUUAUGAGUUACAAGUUGAUGUUGUUGAACAACUAAACAAAACUGGUUUUUUUCUCCUACACAUGGCAACUCUGCGGGGCAUUUGAUUAUCUCUUGAAGGGGAAGCCUAAAAUAGAAUUUGAAUGUCCUGGAUCAUUUUGUAUGCUAAUUUUAACAAAUUUGUUUGUUGUAAAGGAAGCUCCAGACAGAGAAGGCACCGACGGCACUAGGACCUAAUUCUCUGGCCAUCAAAGCAAACACUGUCCAGUUAACUGGUCAUAGCAUUUUUUUACAAUAACAGAUAGGUUCAUCACUAUUAUAUAGAAUAUUGUUGGGUCGUAUCAGAUCUCUUGAGCAAUAAAAUAAUCACUUUCUUCUCCUUAUUCAUUCAUGGUCUUAGUUUUUUUUCAUUUGCUAACAGUAGUUUGCUGAGAGUCGAGAUUAUAGGAGCCAUGGAUAAGACAGAGAGCUGCUGGUGGUAGAUCUAAUGGUGAUGGAUCCAAGAAGACGGAGAACAUGUGAUCGACCUAAGGCAGUUUCAGCUCCAGAGGCAAAUACUGAACUUCAAGUAAAUAUUGAUAAAGAAAGGUCCAUUACUCAUGCAAAUGCUAAGAGCAAGAGUGAAAAGUUCCCUCCCCUCGUGCGGUUGGUGUCUCCUGGAUGCUUCAGUACCCUUUUCCUCUGUACUCUUUUAAUGCUCCUGGUGGUAUAUAUGGAAUCAAACAUUUUCGAAGGUGAAUAACGAGUAAGUUCUACAGUUCCAUUGAUACGAUAGUGACAUAAAAGCUCAAAUGUUUGUAAUAUUUUUCUUUUGUGCUAAACAUUUUUGAAUCAUGCAUUCUGCGGUGGGUUCAAUGUGACAAAUGUGAAUGCUAGCAACACCAAAUUUGUGCUCUAUUUGAUGGAAGAAGGAAUGAUGAAGGACAAGCCGAAUAUACUUGUCCCAAUUGCUACGUUGAGGAGGUCAAAUGUGGGCUGCGCAAACCUUUAUCAUAGUGUGUUGUUCUUGGGGGCAAAAGAUUUGCCAAGAACUGUUCUUAGUGAUCAUAUAGAAGAUCGGCUAUUUAAACGACUUAAGCAGUGCUGGCAAAAGUAUUGAUGAGGUUAGUGAUACCAUGCAGCUGCUGCAGGAGAAACAAGAUCAUGCUUCAAAUGUCUAUCUAUCUGUUCGCUUGUUAAUUCGAGAUGUAUUUGAGACUGAGUGUAUACUAUUUUGCGAGGGAUGCACACUAUGAACAAUGCUAACAUCUUGGAAUUCGAUAUCACCACCAUGCUUUGUUUUUCA
Long non-coding RNA from Zea mays, 1293 nucleotides. RefSeq lists it as uncharacterized. The transcript has 2 exons. The record is from RefSeq and is a predicted model, not a curated record. NCBI's taxonomy places the organism in Eukaryota, Viridiplantae, Streptophyta, Magnoliopsida, Poales, Poaceae.